This is a long non-coding RNA of Portunus trituberculatus (swimming crab), 681 nucleotides long. RefSeq lists it as uncharacterized. Lineage: Eukaryota; Metazoa; Arthropoda; Malacostraca; Decapoda; Portunidae. The transcript has 2 exons. The record is from RefSeq and is a predicted model, not a curated record.
UGCUUAUAUUACCGAUUAUGUGAGUACAACAGGUAAUGAUUCAUGUGCAUUAUGUACUACAUCAUCAUGUUAUGCAUUCUAUGUACUACCGGGGUAUAUUUGAUGUCCACUUUGGUUGGGGUGGAGUGUAUUUAUGUUCACUUUGGUUGGGGUGGAGUGUAUCAUUAAAAUGAUAUGGUUAUGUUUUAUGCAGCGUUAUGUAUUGAUGAUAGUAUAAUUUGACUUGAGUGCGGGGUUAGUGCGCAUCUUUGCUGUGUUUUGUUUCACCUAGGCUACUACCUGUGAACAUGGUCGGCCUGGCGGGUUUCUAAGCCGGCCCAUCACUGUGCUAUGGGAUUUUCUGGCGGUUGGUCCUCCACUCUACAGGUUAGUUGUGUUUAUUAAUUUACUCUAUGCUGUUUAGUAUAUUUUUUGUGAAGGUUACAAGCAUAGGAUGUGUUAAUUAGGUAAGGUAAUGGACACUGGAUAAUAUUGUUGACAGACAGUGUGUGUAGAGUCGACCUGGACGUGAUGAUAGUUGGGGUGUUGGUGAUCUCCCGCGCCACAAUCGGAGUAUGUAAGGAAGGCCUGGACUUGUGGCUAAUUGUGGUGGCGACAUGUCAGGUGUGUUACGGGGAUUCGGAAGGCGUCGAUGUGGGCCACUGAAGCCGAAACACUCCAAGCAAUAAAGCCUUGUUACGA